This is a long non-coding RNA of Lemur catta (Ring-tailed lemur), 117 nucleotides long. RefSeq lists it as uncharacterized. The record is from RefSeq and is a predicted model, not a curated record. Lineage: Eukaryota; Metazoa; Chordata; Mammalia; Primates; Lemuridae. The transcript is spliced from 3 exons.
CUGAUUACUUGAAAGCACUGGCAAGGACAAGUCUUCAUUUAUUAGAAAAUGGCUUGGACUGGUUAUUUUCUCUGCCUGAAGUGCUCUUCCUCCAGAUCCAGACAGCUGCUGAAGGAC